This is a long non-coding RNA of Drosophila miranda, 657 nucleotides long. RefSeq lists it as uncharacterized. Lineage: Eukaryota; Metazoa; Arthropoda; Insecta; Diptera; Drosophilidae. The record is from RefSeq and is a predicted model, not a curated record. The transcript has 2 exons.
GUGAGGAGGCCUAGGGUUUUUGGGGGUCCGCCGAAAAUUAGGCACCAUCUGACGAGAGGCAAGAGAAAUUCUCUUUAACAGUCGGCAAAGAGGGCCUGGGAUCAGAGAGUGGGUCAGAGCCAGGUCAGACUUCCUCGUCGAAAGGAGAGCGGGUUCGAAGUCGAAGUUCGACGAGAAGAGAGGCUACAAAUAGAUGUCAUUGGACGCCAUUGCAGCAUUCCAAGCCUGGUCGACAGCAUUGGAUGGUGUUCAUUUUCUAAAGUGGCAGCGCGGUUUUUAAAUAUUCAAAAAAAAAGAGAGAGAAACCUUUUAAAUUAAAUAACGACAAGGAAAUAUAUCUCAGGCAGUGAGGCGUUGUAUAGUGAUACCCUUGCAAUACACCCUUUCGACGGGGCACCCGUUUGGGUUGGAAAUUGGAGGAGGCUCGUCUUCCACGACAACCAGCUGCAAGUCAUAGAAAUUCGCCGGAGCUUUGGGACGUCGCCUUGGAGCAAUUCGGCGAGCCAGAGAGGAGAGGCCAGCUAGUGCCCGGCUCCGCGUAUGCGUCCAUACCCCGCGCGUAGGGGAGGAGGCAGAGAGGAAAAAGUGUUCGGCAGUUAGUGGCUGAUCGAAGUUGAAAUUGUCACAGAGAUCUAGCCUGGUCCAAAAGAAACAAAA